GACGUAGGAGGCGAGCGUUGUCCGGAUUCAUUGGGCGUAAAGAGCGCGCAGGCGGCUUGGUAAGUCGGAUGUGAAAUCCCGAGGCUCAACCUCGGGUCUGCAUCCGAUACUGCCCGGCUAGAGGUAGGUAGGGGAGAUCGGAAUUCCUGGUGUAGCGGUGAAAUGCGCAGAUAUCAGGAGGAACACCGGUGGCGAAGGCGGUUCUCUGGGCCUUACCUGACGCUGAGGAGCGAAAGCAUGGGGAGCAAACAGG
This 253-nucleotide ribosomal RNA is filed under the name uncultured bacterium. Its description in RNAcentral is "partial 16S ribosomal RNA". It matches the Rfam family "Bacterial small subunit ribosomal RNA", at positions 524 to 776 of the family's 1533-position model. The record is from RNAcentral.